CUUAAAGUUUGGUUGGUCUUAUUUUUAAUCUGGAACUUGAAAUUGUAAAUAAACUGUGAUGGGCUGUUGUGCUUCUCUUCUUUGGACUCUAAAAGAUGGAACUAACUGGGAACAAAAUGAAGAACUACCUCGUCUGCCAGGAAGAGACCAGGGUUACAGUCUUUUAAGAAACACGACAUAGUUUACAGACAAGGAUGUUACGUAUGUGUGUCCAUUUAAUGGCCCCGUUAAAGGACAAGGGUACGUCACAAACUGCAAGCUGUACCUGAGGAGUGUGGAAAAUAGCUUUGCAGAGGGCAAAAAGGCUCUAAAACCACCUGAAUCUCGGAGAAAAAAACCAAGAACUGGCGUCCCUGAGUGGCCUCCUCUAAAGGGGCACCAAAAGGGUCACAGUGAACCCUCUGCAGUGAACAUCGCAAGCUCCCAAGAAGAUCAAAAGCCAAACGGUCAGCUCUGGAGAAGAACAUUUCUGGCCAGAGCAGCUCAUCUCAAAUUCGUCCCAGACCGACAGAUCUCCAAGGGCCCUGGAAUCCGUCACCCUGAAACCUGCUGGACAGUGAUCAGGACACCUCCGAGACGAAUUCGACCACAGCUGCACACAAGCCUUUGUGCUUUGGGUGCGGAACGCAGCGGAGUGCGGUCGGAGAACAUGUCGGGUGGGGGUGGAUUGCGAGGGAAACCAGUUUGCGGACGAGCGAGCCGAGAUCGCAGGCGGAGGGACGGGGGCGUGGGAAGAGCCGGGAACCGGGUCGUCGAUUCGGCGCGUGCCGAUGAUACAAGCUACAGGAAGCAACACAGUUCAAAGUUCAUCCGCAUUGCGGGGCGCAGGGGAAAACCCGAACCCGGAAACACUGAGCAAAGCACGACAAAUCCCAGAAGCCUCAGUGGUGAGUCCAGGCGCAGGCGCGGCAGGAGCGG
Molecule: long non-coding RNA, 918 nt
Organism: Hirundo rustica (Barn swallow)
Lineage: Eukaryota; Metazoa; Chordata; Aves; Passeriformes; Hirundinidae
Exons: 4
Source: RefSeq, a predicted model, not a curated record